RNAcentral lists this ribosomal RNA (555 nucleotides) under uncultured Glomus. Its description in RNAcentral is "SSU rRNA". It matches the Rfam family "Eukaryotic small subunit ribosomal RNA", at positions 548 to 1098 of the family's 1831-position model. Lineage: Eukaryota; Fungi; Glomeromycota; Glomeromycetes; Glomerales; Glomeraceae. The record is from RNAcentral.
UUGGAGGGCAAGUCUGGUGCCAGCAGCCGCGGUAAUUCCAGCUCCAAUAGCGUAUAUUAAAGUUGUUGCAGUUAAAAAGCUCGUAGUUGAAUUUCGGGAUUGACACAUCGGUCGUGCCUUAAGGGGUAUGAACUGGUGUAGUCAAUUUCUCACCUUCUGGAGAGCCGCGAUGCCCUUAAUUGGGUGUCACGGGGAACCAGGACCUUUACUUUGAAAAAAUUAGAGUGUUUAAAGCAGGCAUUUUGCUUGGAUACAUUAGCAUGGAAUAAUAAAAUAGGACGGCAUGAUUCUAUUUUGUUGGUUUCUAAGAUCACCGUAAUGAUUAAUAGGGAUAGUUGGGGGCAUUAGUAUUCAAUUGUCAGAGGUGAAAUUCUUGGAUUUAUUGAAGACUAACUACUGCGAAAGCAUUUGCCAAGGAUGUUUUCAUUAAUCAAGAACGAAAGUUAGGGGAUCGAAGACGAUCAGAUACCGUCGUAGUCUUAACCAUAAACUAUGCCGACUAGGAAUCAGACGAUGUUUAUUUUUUAAUGACUCGUUUGGCACCUUACGGGAAAC